This 554-nucleotide ribosomal RNA is filed under the name Saccharomyces cerevisiae (brewer's yeast). RNAcentral's name for it is "partial large subunit ribosomal RNA". It matches the Rfam family "Eukaryotic large subunit ribosomal RNA", at positions 97 to 665 of the family's 3401-position model. The record is from RNAcentral. Lineage: Eukaryota; Fungi; Ascomycota; Saccharomycetes; Saccharomycetales; Saccharomycetaceae.
AGCGGCAAAAGCUCAAAUUUGAAAUCUGGUACCUUCGGUGCCCGAGUUGUAAUUUGGAGAGGGCAACUUUGGGGCCGUUCCUUGUCUAUGUUCCUUGGAACAGGACGUCAUAGAGGGUGAGAAUCCCGUGUGGCGAGGAGUGCGGUUCUUUGUAAAGUGCCUUCGAAGAGUCGAGUUGUUUGGGAAUGCAGCUCUAAGUGGGUGGUAAAUUCCAUCUAAAGCUAAAUAUUGGCGAGAGACCGAUAGCGAACAAGUACAGUGAUGGAAAGAUGAAAAGAACUUUGAAAAGAGAGUGAAAAAGUACGUGAAAUUGUUGAAAGGGAAGGGCAUUUGAUCAGACAUGGUGUUUUGUGCCCUCUGCUCCUUGUGGGUAGGGGAAUCUCGCAUUUCACUGGGCCAGCAUCAGUUUUGGUGGCAGGAUAAAUCCAUAGGAAUGUAGCUUGCCUCGGUAAGUAUUAUAGCCUGUGGGAAUACUGCCAGCUGGGACUGAGGACUGCGACGUAAGUCAAGGAUGCUGGCAUAAUGGUUAUAUGCCGCCCGUCUUGAACCACGGA